This 447-nucleotide ribosomal RNA is filed under the name uncultured bacterium. RNAcentral's name for it is "partial 16S ribosomal RNA". It matches the Rfam family "Bacterial small subunit ribosomal RNA", at positions 29 to 523 of the family's 1533-position model. The record is from RNAcentral.
AACGAACGCUGGCGGCAGGCCUAACACAUGCAAGUCGAACGCCCAGUAAUGGGAGUGGCGCACGGGUGCGUAACGCGUGGGAAUAUGCCCUUCACUACGGAACAACGUUUGGAAACGAACGCUAAUACCGUAUAAUGACUCCGGUCCAAAGAUUUAUCGGUGAAGGAUUAGCCCGCGUUAGAUUAGCUAGUUGGUGAGGUAAUGGCUCACCAAGGCAACGAUCUAUAGGGGGUCUGAGAGGAUGAUCCCCCACACUGGAACUGAGACACGGUCCAGACUCCUACGGGAGGCAGCAGUGAGGAAUAUUGGACAAUGGGCGCAAGCCUGAUCCAGCCAUGCCGCGUGAGUGAUGAAGGCCUUCGGGUUGUAAAGCUCUUUUAACGGUGAAGAUAAUGACGGUAGCCGUAGAAAAAGCCCCGGCUAAAUUCGUGCCAGCCGCCGCAGUAA